AAGGUAGGAAUCGUAAGAGUGUACAGAAAUAAGUCACAUGCAGACCAUAUUGAAAUACGCAGAGAAUUCCAUGGAGACUCUGAUGGCUAGGGCACCGUUGAGCUGUUGCAACUGUUCUGCUGGAGCCUUAUGUAUGUGGUUGAAACCACCUGUACUACUGGAAUGAAAGCACCUUUACAGAAGAGGCAAUGCAAGUUGUAUUCAUCACAUGUGUAGAAUGAAUUAAGAUUUAUGCCAGUUGCAAAGAAGAAUAUUGGCUCACUAUUUUUCCUCUGGGCAUAUGGAGUCUUGCUCUGUCGCCAGGCUGGAAUACAGUGGCAUGAUCUCGACUCACUGCAACCUCUGCCUCCCGGGUUCAAGUGAUUCUCCUGCCUCAGCCUCCCGAGUAGCUGGGAUUACAGGCGCGUGCCACUGCACCCAGCUAAUUUUUGUAUUUUUAGUAGAGACAGGGUUUCAUCAUGUUGGCCAGGACAGUCUCGAUCUGCCCGCCUCAGCCUCCCAAAUUGCUGGGUUUAUAGGCAUGAGCCACCACACCCAGCCACCAAAGGUAUUCAUGUAGUUUCUGACCAUCCCUCCUCUGCAUCACGGUAACAGCUCACUGCAGCCUUGACCUCCUGGGCUCAAGUGACCUGACUUUAUUCAGAUAUACAAAUAUGCUCCAAAGACUGUGCUCUUCAUUAAGAUAACCAGACCAACUUCUUACCGGUCUCCUGGCAUCAGACUCCACAUAUUACCUCUUCUUUCCUUUCUUCCCCUUUGCCUCUCCCCCUCUACCUUCUUGACUCCCUCUUUAUUUUUUAAAAUAAUUUUUUAGCAUGUUGCAGCCAUUGUAAAAUUGAAACUUGUCUCUUUUUCAUGAAAAAUGAAGUUUUUUUGAAAUUUUGUCUUAGACUAGUAAAAAACAAUAAACUUAUACUUUUGAGUUUACUUUUAUAUCAGAUAUAAGUUGCAGUGCUAGCUAUUUUUCUUGGUUUAGCGAAACUAAGUUCAUGCCAAGGUAGUCACUGUCUUCUUUUAGAAUUGGCAAAAUCUAGCACACUGUUUCUUACACAUAGCAGGUGGUCAGUGAAUAUUCUUUGAAUGAAUUAAAUUUUGAAGGAAAGAUAUCCAGGUUAAGGAACUCCUUCUCAAAAAAGGAAAGGUAGCAAGAAAAGAUGAACAUUUGCACAGAUGCGUAUUUCACAUUCAGAAGCAAGUUAUUUUCAAUUUAAUUUAAUUUAUUUAUUUAUUGAGACAGGGUCUUGCUCUGUCACCCAGGAUGGAGUGCAGUGGCACAAUCAUGGCUCACUGCAGCCUCAACUUCCUGGGCUCAAGCUAUUCUCCUGCCUCAGCCUCCCAAGUAGCUAGUACUAUCUGUGCUCAUCAUCACACACAGCUAAUUUUUAAUUUUUUAUAAAGAUGGGCAGGGGGAAGGGUGUCUCAUUUUGUUGCCCAGGCUGGUCUCGAACUCUUUGCCUCAAGCGGUCCACCCAUCCCAGCCUUUCAAAGUAUUGGGAUUACAGGCGUGAGCCACCAUACCUGGUCAGAGCAAUUUAUAUUUGUGUGCUAUGGAAUAUAACUCAAUUCUAUAUCAGUCUGAGAUAUAUCUGGGAGAGAUUUUCAUUCGUGUCUGUUCAUGUUGUUUACAUUUUCAGAUUUCCAAGGGGGUAAAAAAAAAAAAGUAAAAACAAAAGGGGAACACAUUCGUCUCUAAAACAUACACAUUUAUUACUUUGUCCUACUUAUUCAGAACAGAUUGGUUGCCAAUGCGUAGGAAGCUGCUUCAUCUUCAUACACGGAUUCAACAUUCCAUUUUCUGAAUAACAUUCAGACUGACCAUACAACAAUUCCGUAUUUAUUUUAAUGCGAUUUUAAACACCAUUACACUCGGCGUCUGAAUCUAUAUCAUCCUACAAGUUACCAGAAUAAUCUUCUCAGUUUGGUUAUAUACAUAUACAUAUACAUAUACAUAUACAUAUACAUAUACAUAUACAUACACAUACUUAUACAUAUAAGUACGUAUACACAAAUACAUGCAUAUACCC
RNAcentral lists this long non-coding RNA (2024 nucleotides) under Homo sapiens (human). Its description in RNAcentral is "HSALNT0393944". The record is from RNAcentral. Lineage: Eukaryota; Metazoa; Chordata; Mammalia; Primates; Hominidae.